RNAcentral lists this long non-coding RNA (310 nucleotides) under Brassica napus (rape). Its description in RNAcentral is "long non-coding RNA (BNAP_LNC015847)". Lineage: Eukaryota; Viridiplantae; Streptophyta; Magnoliopsida; Brassicales; Brassicaceae. The record is from RNAcentral.
AAAAUUUAAAGUGGAACUAAAGUAAAAUAGGAAAACCAUUAACUUUUAUUGAAAGUAUAUUUAUACUACAGUUUUUGAAAUGCACACUUUCGAGGUAAUUUGGAUCACACGGAUCAAGACCACUCUAGCCUACUCUCGUACUAAAGUCGAAUACAAGACCUUAGUACCUCUCCCAUUAACCUUUAGUACUUUCACUCGAUUACAAGCUUAUAAAACCCACUCUUAUGCUAAGAAUACAAUUCAUGUGACAACCCUAAUACAUAGGUCGACCAUGAAUAUUAUAUACCCAAUAGCCAAUCGGCUAAUCCUA